GAGUGGUAAAGGACUGUUGUUUCCCGGCCGCUAUCUGGUGGAAGAAGAAUUGGGGUUUCAGGUCCCCGCGCCGGGUCGGGAAUUUCUGCUUACACUCUCAGGCCGCCGCCUGGUGGCCCCCGAGCCGCAGAUACCACGCCGGGCUUUCCCUUUACUCUCCGCUGCGUGGCCCACCCAGUUCUUCAGCUUCCCAUUCAUCGUACAAGAUUGAAUCGUGAUUUUGUUUCUUAAAUUCCACAUUUGCCUUGCUACACGGUUUCUUCAAAGAGUUUAGGAAAGAGGGAGAGCAAGAAAGAGAGAGUGAGGGGCAGAGGGAGAGAGAAUCUUAAGCAGGCUCCACGCUGGGUGGAAGCUCAGUCUCAUAGCCCUGAGAUCAUGAUCUGAGCCAAAAUCAGGAGUUGGACGCUUAACUGACUGAGCCACCUGGGCACCCCAAAAGGUGAGUUUCUUUUUUUUUUUUUUUUAAAGAUUUUAUUUAUUUAUUUGCGAGAGAGAGAAUGAGAGACAGAGCACGAGAGGGAAGAGGGCAGAGGGAGCAGCAGACCCCCCGCUGAGCAGGGAGCCCGAUGCGGGACUCGAUCCCGGGACUCCAGGAUCAUGACCUGAGCCGAAGGCAGUCGCUUAACCGACUGAGCCACCCAGGCGCCCAAAAGGUGAGUUUCUUAAGGGCACAGAUCCAACCUUGUUUUAUUUAUUUUUUUAUUUUUUUAAAGAUUUUAUUUAUUUAUUUGAGACAGAGAGAAUGAGAGAGACAGAGAGCACAUGAGGGGGGGGAGGGUCAGAGGGAGAAGCAGACUCCCUGCCGAGCAGGGAGCCGGAUGCGGGACUCGAUCCUGGGACUCCAGGAUCAUGACCUGAGCCGAAGGCAGUCGCUUAACCAACUGAGCCACCCAGGUGCCCCCCAACCUUGUUUUAAAUAUUACUCUAUUACAUAAACAUUUAUUGGGCUGAUGAUUUUAUUUUUAACCAGUGGCAAUUUCUCUCCAGGAAAUAGAGAUUUAAGAAUUAAGCCAAAAUGUUUAAGGAUAUGCAUAAAAAUAUGUGCACAUAUAUGUGCUUUGAAAUGGUGAUUCCAAAUAGGAAUUCCAAAUAGGAAACAUUUGCCGCAUCCAAAAUGUCCAAAAGUAAGAGUUUGUUAAAUUAUGGUAAAAUAUACAGUAAAGAAAACCAUUAGCAAUGAUGCUGUACUAAGGUAUCUAUUAAUAAGGAAAGGUAUUUUUGAUAUACUCAAGUGAUAAGAAUAAGAAAUGAAAUGUGUAUGAUAGUACUUUUUCAAAAUAUAUAUGCAUGUGAAAUAUAUAAAGUCUCAUGAUUUCUGUGGUUCAGAAAUCCAGACAUGCCAUAGUGGGAAUGGUUUAUCUUAACUCCUCAAUGUCUGGGGCCUCAGCUGGAAGACUCGAAAGCUAGGAGCUGGAAUCAUGGGGAAGAAUUAUUUACUCAUAUCCAGUGGGUUUUCGUGGCUGUCAGCUGGGGGUCUAGCUGGAGCUGUUAGCCAAAAAACAUACACACAUGACCUCUCCACGUUGGUCUGGUUUCCAAGGACAAGUGUUUUAAGAGAAAUAGAGCUAGGUGGAAGCUCUAUCUCUUUUUUUAACUUAGCCUUUGAAGUUAGACAGCAUUACAUCUACCACAUUUUAUUGGUCCAAGCAGUUACAAAUGUCCUCUCAGGUUCAAAGAAAGGAAAUGAAGCCCCACCCUUGAUAGAGGAAAACCAACAUUGUAUCACAUUGUAAGAAAAGCAUGUGGAAUGGGAUAUAUGUUGGUAUGGUCAUCUUUGGAAAAUAUAAUCUGUCACAUCACAUAUUACAUAUAUGUAUCUUAUAUAUACAGCUUUCAUCUUCACCUUUAUUGGUUUUAUUUUUUUUUAAGAUUUUAUUUAUUUAACAAAGAGAGGCACAGUGAGAGAGGGAACACAAGCAGGGGGAGCGGGAGGGGGAGGAGAAGCAGGCUUCCCGCUGAGCAGGGAGCCCGAUGUGGGGCACGAUCCCAGGACCCUGGGACCCUGGAUUAACGACUGAGCCACCCAGGCGCCCCCUUUUAUUGAUUUUAAUUAUGCAACUAAUAUAUUGAUAUAUUAAAGUUGUAAAAAAAUUAACAUAAAAGUAUUGAUAGCAACGUGUGAAUAUUCCCAUUAACUCACUUCGACUCUCUUUACCCUAUCUGGGGUUGUUACCGUUGUCUGAUCCUUUCUAUGCAUUUACAUGUAUAUUUGUAUUCAUAGCUAUACACAUACAUUUUUUUUUCCAUAUACACACACAUUUACACAAAUUUUUUUUUUUUUUAAGAUUUUAUUUAUUUGACAGAGAGAGACACAGCGAGAGAGGGAACACAAGCAGGGGGAGUGGGAGAGGGAGAAGCAGGACCCCGCCGAGCAGGGAGCCCGAUGUGGGACUCGAUCCCAGGACCCUGGGAUCAUGACCUGAGCUGAAGGCAGACGCUUAACGACUGAGCCACCCAGGCGCCCACAAAUGUUUUUUUUUCUGUUAGGCUAUUAUAAGAUGCUUCUUUUUUCACUUAGUAGAAAGUGCUAUUAUUAUUCUCCAUUCCAUGAAUGAGCAAACUAAGGCACAGAAAGUUCUGGUAAUUCCUCAAAAUUAAAAAGCUAGAAAGUGGCCAAGCUGAGAUUCUAACCCUGCUGGUGUGGCUCCAGAGCCUACCCUCUCUCCACAGUGCUGGACCCUUUCUCAGUAUUUCCUAAUAUGAAUGUAUUGUAAUCUGUUUGACCAUGCUCCCUUUGCAGGUCAUCUGUUUCCAAUUUUUCACAAUUACAAAUAAUGUCGCAAUAAACACCCUUGGAUG
Molecule: long non-coding RNA, 2799 nt
Organism: Mirounga angustirostris (Northern elephant seal)
Lineage: Eukaryota; Metazoa; Chordata; Mammalia; Carnivora; Phocidae
Exons: 2
Source: RefSeq, a predicted model, not a curated record